Molecule: transfer RNA, 89 nt
Filed under: Escherichia coli
Lineage: Bacteria; Pseudomonadati; Pseudomonadota; Gammaproteobacteria; Enterobacterales; Enterobacteriaceae
Description: tRNA-???(taaa)
Rfam family: tRNA
About the family: Transfer RNA (tRNA) molecules are approximately 80 nucleotides in length. Their secondary structure includes four short double-helical elements and three loops (D, anti-codon, and T loops).
Source: RNAcentral
GCCCGGAUGGUGGAAUCGGUAGAACACAAGGGAUUUAAAAAUCCCUCGGCGUUCGCGCUGUGCGGGUUCAAGUCCCGCUCCGGGUACCA